Molecule: ribosomal RNA, 265 nt
Filed under: uncultured archaeon
Lineage: Archaea
Description: partial 16S ribosomal RNA
Rfam family: Archaeal small subunit ribosomal RNA
Source: RNAcentral
AGUCACUGACAUUAGAUACCCGCGUAGUCCAGGGUGUAAACGCUGCAGACUUGGUGUUGGAAGCCCUUUGGGGGCAUUCAGUGCCGGAGAGAAGUUGUUAAGUCUGCUACUUGGGGAGUACGUCCGCAAGGAUGAAACUUAGAGGAAUUGGCGGGGGAGCACCGCAACGGGAGGAGCGUGCGGUUUAAUUGGAUUCAACACCGUAAAACUCACCAGGGAAGACUGUUACAUGAAGGCCGAGAUGAAGACUCUGCUAGAUUUUCAG